Molecule: ribosomal RNA, 254 nt
Filed under: uncultured bacterium
Lineage: Bacteria
Description: partial 16S ribosomal RNA
Rfam family: Bacterial small subunit ribosomal RNA
Source: RNAcentral
UACGGGGGGAGCAAGCGUUGUUCGGAUUUACUGGGCGUAAAGGGCGCGUAGGCGGCCACCGCAAGUCGACUGUGAAAUCUCCGGGCUUAACUCGGAAAGGUCAGCCGAUACUGCGGGGCUAGAGUGCAGAAGGGGCAACUGGAAUUCUCGGUGUAGCGGUGAAAUGCGUAGAUAUCGAGAGGAACACCUGCGGCGAAGGCGGGUUGAUGGGCUGACACUGACGCUGAUGUGCGAAAGCUAGGGGAGCGAACGGG